Molecule: unclassified non-coding RNA, 1644 nt
Filed under: uncultured fungus
Lineage: Eukaryota; Fungi
Description: sequence contains 18S rRNA gene, ITS1, 5.8S rRNA gene, ITS2, 28S rRNA gene
Rfam family: Eukaryotic large subunit ribosomal RNA (bases 589-1644)
Source: RNAcentral
GGAAGGAUCAUUAACAAAUCUCUGCGUGCAGUAACAGUCGCAAGGCUGCUACUUGCACACAUAAGCACCCUAGGGCACACGCCCUAGUGUGAGGGGGGAUCAACGGAGCAAUCCACUGGUCUCCCACAGGUCAUUCUGUGACCACAUUAACGCUUGUUUGUUUGACAGAGUUUUAUGUGACAUAAACACAAAUUGACAACUUUUAACAAUGGAUCUCUUGGCUCUUGCAACGAUGAAGAACGCAGUGAAAUGCGAAAAGUAAUGCGAUUUGCAUGAAUCUGUGAGUCAUCAAGUCUUUGAACGCACCUUGCACCGUAUGAGCAAUUGUACGGUAUACCUGUUUGAGAAUCGUAAAGACCCCCUUUCCCUCUCUCGAGGGGGAAGAAUUGUCAGCUGUCCGCAGAGUACUGUGGACUCUGAUUAAAAGCAGUAGGUCUAUGUGGUCAGGCUGGUGGCCUGGGACAUUGUGUGCUAGAGACACGGUUCAUUCGACCGACAGUCUUCCUCACAGUGCGUCCCAGGUCUUACAAGCCGGUCUGGCCAUGGCCUCUUCAGUGCCCCUCUCGUAGUGGCACAACCCCCAACUUUUGAUCUCAAAUCAGGUAAGGCUACCCGCUGAACUUAAGCAUAUCAGUAAGCGGAGGAAAAGAAACUAACAAGGAUUCCCCUAGUAACGGCGAGCGAAGCGGGAAGAGCUCAAAUUUAAAAUCUGGUAGGCACGCCUGCCCGAAUUGUAAUUUAAAGAGGCGUUAUCUGGGUCCAACUAGGUGCUCAAGUCCCUUGGAAUAGGGCGUCACAGAGGGUGAGAACCCCGUCUGGGCAUCAAGGUGGAUCCUACAUGAGGCGCUCUCUAAGAGUCGAGUUGUUUGGGAAUGCAGCUCAAAAUGGGUGGUAAAUUUCAUCUAAGGCUAAAUACUGGCAAGAGACCGAUAGCGAACAAGUACCGUGAGGGAAAGAUGAAAAGCACCUUGAAAAGGGAGUUAAAUAGUGCGUGAAAUUGUUAAAAGGGAAACGAUUGAGACCAGUAUUGGGCUUGGCUGCUCAGCAACGGGUAGGUGUACACGUUGUGUAUUCAGUCAGGCCCGAGUCAGCGUCAGUUUGGGUACCUGGAAAGAGGUCAGAGGAAGAUGGGGUCUGUCUUCGGGCAUUCCUUUUAUAGACUCUGGCUGGCACACGGAACCUGGACUGAGGCAUGCGACCGUAGUACUCAUCAGCCGAGACUAGCCCCCAAAGCCAAGGACUACACGUAGACCUGGGCUGUAAGGGAUGGAGGUAGGCGGAUGCAUACGGUUCCAGGAUGCUGACGAAAUGGUCUUAAACGACCCGUCUUGAAACACGGACCAAGGAGUCUAACAUAUAUGCGAGUAUUUGGGUGGCAAACCCGGAUGCGUAAUGAAAGUGAACCUGGUGAGAACCGGACCCCAUAAAGGACCGGCGCAUCAUCGACCGAACCUUGAAGUCUCCGGAUAGGUUUGAGUAGGAGCAUAUCUGUUGGGACCCGAAAGGUAGUGAACUAUGCCUGGAUAGGAUGAAGCCAGAGGAAACUCUGGUGGAGGUCCGUAGCCGUUCUGACGUGCAAAUCGAUGGUAAAAUCUGGGUAUAGGGGCGAAAGACUAAUCGAACUACCUAGUAGCUGGUUCCCUC